UCUUCUUUGAUUCUCUUAAUGCUCAUCUGGGUCAUGCUUCUAUAUUCAAAUCCUUGUUUGCAAUUGUUAUUGAGUAAGCUUGAUGGUUUAUAAGUUCACAGUUUCAACCAAGAAGCUGAUUACUAGAAUCUUGUUUGUCAAGAGGUACUAAAGCUUGGGCUACUUUUGAUUGCCAAACUUUGUUUCCAUUUUGCUGAUCAACCAAGAAGCUUCUCCCAUAACUGAAAUAGGCGUCAUUCUAAGGUGAAGAAAAAGAAGGUGAUGGGUCAAGUCAUGGGAUAGAGAUGGAUGAUGAUGUAGAAGAAGAAUAUUCAUGGUCAUGGUGCACAAGAAAUGGAAAUAAUAAGAAAUAACAUUAAUCAAAGUUUGAUGAGUGCGCGUAAUAACUUGAACAUUUGAAUAUGUUAUGAAAUUUUUUGUGGUUACUUGAUGUGAACCAGAAACCAAUUGUUAUUAAUAUUACUAAUAUAUUUGUAUAAGUUAUUUUUA
RNAcentral lists this long non-coding RNA (489 nucleotides) under Rosa chinensis. RNAcentral's name for it is "sRNA RchiOBHm_Chr1g0344971". Lineage: Eukaryota; Viridiplantae; Streptophyta; Magnoliopsida; Rosales; Rosaceae. The record is from RNAcentral.